Molecule: long non-coding RNA, 1364 nt
Organism: Apis mellifera (honey bee)
Lineage: Eukaryota; Metazoa; Arthropoda; Insecta; Hymenoptera; Apidae
Exons: 3
Source: RefSeq, a predicted model, not a curated record
UCAGAAUUCAUUUUAAUGAAUAUAUUUUAAAUUCGAGAUAAAUUUAAAAUAUAUUAAAAGAUUUGUUUCGGAAGAAUAUUUGAUCACAGAGAUCAUACUUUUUUAAUCUCAUUUAUCUUUUUUUUUUCUUUUUUGAAAAAUCAUCGUAUGGAGAAUCUAAUAAGAAUAUAAUACAUAAGGAGAAGAAACACAAUGUGGAGCAUCGAUAUAUCCAUGAAAUAAGGGAGAAACCGACAGCUAUAUCGAUCCAUCCGUCGCCCGAUUGGCUUUUAUGUACACGCCGAAUUUCGUUUCCUGCACGACCCAAUGGCACGUAUUUCUCAGACAAGGGGCAAAAAUGAAAUGAGAACGGAUAAUAAAUGAGAGCUGGAAAGAGAAACGAACCUACGAUGACCUACUUUCGUUAUAGUUUCAUUAACUAUUCUCAUUUACAAAUAAAUUUGUGAGAAAAAAGGAAAAGAAAAAAAGAAGGAAAUGGAAAGAAGCGACUUCGAUUACAAAUGACAUUAAAUUAGUGUUUGCGGACGUGUACCAGAAGAAUAAUAGGGUUACUAGUGAUCAUAAUGAAAUCUCGUCUAAGCUAACGGGUCAUAGUUCAGCGAGGUCUCUCAGAGUUUGUAAUUAAUUGCGAUUAGCAAUGAAACAUCAAAACGGUGCCGAUAAAUUAACAAUGCCAUCGGUGCAAAACCAGUAACAAUGGAUUAAUUUUGAUUGUUGCAAUUUAUUGAAAUUAUCAGAUAUAUUGAUGUAAUAAUAAUAUCAAAUAUAUGAUGUAAUAAGAUCGAAUUUGAUCAUUGAAAUAAUACUGAUAAUUUGUAACUUGUGAUAAAACCAGUAAUAUUAAUUCAGAACCAAAUCAUAUUCAUAGAUUCAAACCAUAGAACCAAAUAUUUAUAUGGAACCAAAUCAUUUCGGUUUUAACUUUUUUAGAUGAAAUUCUAUAAAUAAGGAUAAAAUAGUAGAGGAAAAUACGUGAAAGAUGAAAUUGAUCAGGAGAUCGAUAGGAAAAUGAAUUAUUUUGUUCAGGAGGGAAUCUGAGUUAUUCUUGAGAUGGAUCGAAGUUUCGUUUAAUUUUUGAAUGAUAUAGGGUGCAUAAAAGCGAAGAAUUCUCUUCUCAUGAUGGGAAAUUGUUCCUUGUGUAUUGCAAUUGCGGUCAGUCACUUGUCUCGUCAUUAAUUUCACAUUAUUACUUCAAUGUGCAAUGUAUCGAGUGCACGUUCGAACAGAUUAUCGAUUCUUUCGUCGUAUAUGGCAAAUGACAUUGAAACAUAGAUAUAUACUUAUAGAAAUAUAGUAGUAAAUAUCUGGAAAAUAUAUUUUAUAUUUUUUCAUAUAUUUUUAUUUUCCGUUGAUUUUAUAUUAAU